UUACAACAAUGGCUUUAGUGGCGGACUGGUGAGUAACACGUAAGCAACCUGCCUAUCAGAGGGGAACAACAGUUAGAAAUGACUGCUAAUACCGCAUAUGCCUAAGUACCACAUGGUACAAUAGGGAAAGGAGCAAUCUGCUGAUAGAUGGGCUUGCGUCUGAUUAGAUAGUUGGUGGGGUAACGGCCUACCAAGUCAACGAUCAGUAGCCGGACUGAGAGGUUGAACGGCCACAUUGGGACUGAGAUACGGCCCAGACUCC
RNAcentral lists this ribosomal RNA (262 nucleotides) under uncultured Oscillospiraceae bacterium. RNAcentral's name for it is "partial 16S ribosomal RNA". It matches the Rfam family "Bacterial small subunit ribosomal RNA", at positions 78 to 339 of the family's 1533-position model. Lineage: Bacteria; Bacillati; Bacillota; Clostridia; Eubacteriales; Oscillospiraceae. The record is from RNAcentral.